GAUGAAGAACGCAGCGAAAUGCGAUAAGUAAUGCGAAUUGCAGAAUUCAGUGAAUCAUCGAAUCUUUGAACGCACAUUGCGCCCCUUGGUAUUCCAUGGGGCAUGCCUGUUCGAGCGUCAUUUGUACCUUCAAGCUUUGCUUGGUGUUGGGUGUUUGUCUCGCCUCUGCGUGUAGACUCGCCUUAAAACAAUUGGCAGCCGGCGUAUUGAUUUCGGAGCGCAGUACAUCUCGCGCUUUGCACUCAUAACGACGACGUCCAAAAGUACAUUUUUACACUCUUGACCUCGGAUCAGGUAGGGAUACCCGCUGAACUUAAGCAUAUCAAUAAGCGGAGGA
RNAcentral lists this unclassified non-coding RNA (337 nucleotides) under soil metagenome. RNAcentral's name for it is "partial contains 5.8S ribosomal RNA, internal transcribed spacer 2, and large subunit ribosomal RNA". The stretch from base 1 to 120 matches the Rfam family "5.8S ribosomal RNA", at positions 35 to 154 of the family's 154-position model. The record is from RNAcentral.